This 263-nucleotide ribosomal RNA is filed under the name uncultured bacterium. Its description in RNAcentral is "partial 16S ribosomal RNA". It matches the Rfam family "Bacterial small subunit ribosomal RNA", at positions 524 to 786 of the family's 1533-position model. The record is from RNAcentral.
UACGGAGGGUGCAAGCGUUGUCCGGAUUCAUUGGGUUUAAAGGGUGCGUAGGCGGAUAGAUAAGUCAGUGGUGAAAGGCAGCGGCUCAACCGUUGAGUUGCCAUUGAUACUGUUUGUCUUGAGUGCACUAGAGGUAAGUGGAAUUUAUGGUGUAGCGGUGAAAUGCAUAGAUACCAUAAAGAACACCAAUAGCGAAGGCAACUUACUAGAGUGUAACUGACGCUGAGGCACGAAAGCGUGGGGAGCGAACAGGAUUAGAAACC